RNAcentral lists this ribosomal RNA (261 nucleotides) under Triticum aestivum (bread wheat). RNAcentral's name for it is "partial small subunit ribosomal RNA". Lineage: Eukaryota; Viridiplantae; Streptophyta; Magnoliopsida; Poales; Poaceae. The record is from RNAcentral.
AUGGUUCUGGUGGGGAUUGCAGCCCUGCUUUGGGCAAUUUGGAAAAGAAGGAAUGCAAUUGUCUUUGAAAACAAAAGGAUAAAUGAUCCUUUGUAUGUUGUCAAACUAUUAUGCAGGUGGUUGACUGACUGGUCCGUCCUACAGAUAAAGGAGUCGUCAAGAAAAACUUUGGAGCUGGGAGCAAGGGUGCUAGAACAGGCAGCAAAUGAGGUGUUCACUGCUAAGCAGGGAUGGAGGAUCAAUGUGGCAAGGCUGGAAUGA